Macrobrachium nipponense is the source of this 831-nucleotide long non-coding RNA. RefSeq lists it as uncharacterized. Lineage: Eukaryota; Metazoa; Arthropoda; Malacostraca; Decapoda; Palaemonidae. The transcript is spliced from 2 exons. The record is from RefSeq and is a predicted model, not a curated record.
UUAACGUUCCUUUUGGAUGCUAACUGAAAGGAGGUGGUUUUAUAUAUUUAGGUCAUUGGAACCACAGUCGAGGAUCCCUAGGGUGUUCUAUAAUGGAGCGAGUCCUCAUUCAGUUCACAAAGUGGAAACAAAAGCAAGUGUGUCUCGGGUACAAAUAAUUCAAUCGUGAUGGGUAAAAUUGAUAGAGCUCUUCAGUAAAAAUUAAAAAAGACUUGGGCAUUACUAGAGGUUCUUUGCAGUGUCCUUUCAGCCCCUAGCUGCAACCCCUUUCAUUGCAUUUUCUAUACCCUUCAUAUUUUGUUUCUUCCAUCUUGCUUUCCACUCUCCCCUAACAAUGGUUUCAUUGUGCAAGUGCCAGGUUUUUCUCUUAUUACACCUUUGUAAUCUCUACUCUCAAUUUCCCUUUGUGUGUUGAGUGACCAAGUGCUUUCCCUUUUGCCUUAAUUUUAUGUUCCGUUCUACUGUAUUCUGUGAAAAGAAAAAAUUGUAUAAAAGCAGAUAAAAUUGUUUUUGUGAUCUCCAGGCAGGCUUCUGUAAUUCCAACCCACAUACACAUUAAGAAGGAAGGAAGGGAGCAAGAAGGAAGAAAGGGAGCGAGGUAGAACACAUUAAGAAGGAAGGAAGGAAGGGAGGGAGGUAGAGGAUGAAUUUUGGAUUCUUAGUCCAUUGGAAUUAGAUGAUGAAAAAAGAAUUAAUAAACUCAUGGAAGACAUGACAUUUGACUAAAUUAGGUGAUCUGAUGAGUAUUGUAGACAUAAGGAAAACUUAAUGUUGCACAUCUUUCAGUGGUUGUGGUCUUAAAAUUUUCAUCAAUGAAUUUUGAUUUGUGUA